This 508-nucleotide ribosomal RNA is filed under the name uncultured bacterium. Its description in RNAcentral is "partial 16S ribosomal RNA". It matches the Rfam family "Bacterial small subunit ribosomal RNA", at positions 28 to 523 of the family's 1533-position model. The record is from RNAcentral.
GAUGAACGCUAGCUACAGGCUUAACACAUGCAAGUCGAGGGGAAACGAUAUUGGAAGCUUGCUUCCGAUAGGCGUCGACCGGCGCACGGGUGAGUAACGCGUAUCCAACCUGCCCACCACUUGGGGAUAACCUUGCGAAAGUAAGACUGAUACCCAAUGAUAUCUCUAGAAGACAUCUGAAGGAGAUUAAUGAUUCAUCGGUGAUGGAUGGGGAUGCGUCUGAUUAGCUUGUUGGCGGGGUAACGGCCCACCAAGGCGACGAUCAGUAGGGGUUCUGAGAGGAAGGUCACCCACAUUGGAACUGAGACACGGUCCAAACUCCUACGGGAGGCAGCAGUGAGGAAUAUUGGUCAAUGGACGAGAGUCUGAACCAGCCAAGUAGCGUGCAGGAUGACGGCCCUAUGGGUUGUAAACUGCUUUUAUAAGGGAAUAAAGUGAGUCUCGUGAGACUUUUUGCAUGUACCUUAUGAAUAAGGACCGGCUAAUUCCGUGCCAGCCGCCGCGGUAA